GAUGAACGCUGGCGGCGUGCCUAAUACAUGCAAGUCGAGCGAACAGACGAGGAGCUUGCUCCUCUGACGUUAGCGGCGGACGGGUGAGUAACACGUGGAUAACCUACCUAUAAGACUGGGAUAACUUCGGGAAACCGGAGCUAAUACCGGAUAAUAUAUUGAACCGCAUGGUUCAAUAGUGAAAGACGGUUUUGCUGUCACUUAUAGAUGGAUCAGCGCCGCAUUAGCUAGUUGGUAAGGUAACGGCUUACCAAGGCAACGAUGCGUAGCCGACCUGAGAGGGUGAUCGGCCACACUGGAACGGAGACACGGUCCAGACUCCUACGGGAGGCAGCAGUAGGGAAUCUUCCGCAAUGGGCGAAAGCCUGACGGAGCAACGCCGCGUGAGUGAUGAAGGUCUUCGGAUCGUAAAACUCUGUUAUUAGGGAAGAACAAAUGUGUAAGUAACUAUGCACGUCUUGACGGUACCUAAUCAGAAAGCCACGGCUAACUACGUG
This 497-nucleotide ribosomal RNA is filed under the name uncultured bacterium. RNAcentral describes it as "partial 16S ribosomal RNA". It matches the Rfam family "Bacterial small subunit ribosomal RNA", at positions 28 to 507 of the family's 1533-position model. The record is from RNAcentral.